Molecule: long non-coding RNA, 939 nt
Organism: Megalobrama amblycephala (Wuchang bream)
Lineage: Eukaryota; Metazoa; Chordata; Actinopteri; Cypriniformes; Xenocyprididae
Exons: 3
Source: RefSeq, a predicted model, not a curated record
GUCAUCAAUGUGGUCUCAUGAUCUGUUUCUCAUUUCGACAGAAAUUACAUUAAAAGGAACAUGUCUACUUUUACUUUAUAUCAAGAAUUGAAAAAAUAUGUCUAUUUCUCCAAAUACAUUUUAGUAGGAAUUUCUGAGACAAAGACUGUGAUCCAGAGGCCAUAACAGACAGGAGCAAGCCAGAUGGUGCUGAUAGGAAUCUCUCUAACAAACUCCUGAUCCUGCUGGCUGCUUUACUUUGGCUUCUUCUUCCACCUUGAAGGACCAAGAUAAAUGCACUUACAAACACACCAGCUACUGGAGCCAAAGACUUCCUGCACUUUUUGACUGGAGCUCAACCAUGCCAGCGAUGGAUACCCUCAGCCAGAGCCUAAAAUGAACACUCACCAGGCAUCAAAUGGAAGUAAAAACCAUUGGCGCGUAUGAAACGGUGUCACUCACCAGCUGGCCUUUGACCCAAGGGAGCUCUUAUUCCACAUGCACUGUGUGUGGAGAGUUUUGUGUGCGCACACAUCAGAAGCGCUCGGCCAAACAGUCGUGUCGCUAAACUGCUAAACUGAGCUCUCUUACAUGACUUCUUGCAAUUUAAUGGACAAGUUCACACAAAAAUCCCCAAAAAUAGCGAAUAUACUAUAAUCUGUAAUAUAUUUAAGUGAAUUUUAACAGUAUACAAUGUACAAAGUGUUUUUAUCUGUGCUUUUGCUUGUUUGACUAUUGUUCUUAUUGUAUUACUGGCUGUUUGUCUUUAAUAAUGUUUUAAAUUUACAUUAUUAGGUUAGGAAUUUUAGUUGUCAAAUGAUAUAAAAUGUAUGUAGUUAAAAGAUGUUUGAUAAGUCCAUUUAAAAUUGUUUGGAACAAUUUUGAUGCAGUUUUAGUUAGUAGAACAGUCUUGGUUGGUUUUUCGGUACAUUUUCUUAAGUAACUGGCCAUUGGCAGGUG